CUCCAGUUGGGUGCAUGUCCUUCUGGGAAAGAUUCAUCGGUAUGGGAUGGGGUCGCGUCCUAUCAGCUUGAUGGCGGGGUAACGGCCCACCAUGGCUUCGACGGGUAGCCGGCCUGAGAGGGCGACCGGCCACAUUGGGACUGAGAUACGGCCCAGACUCCUACGGGAGGCAGCAGUGGGGAAUAUUGCACAAUGGGCGCAAGCCUGAUGCAGCGACGCCGCGUGCGGGAUGACGGCCUUCGGGUUGUAAACCGCUUUUGACUGGGAGCAAGCCCUUCGGGGUGAGUGUACCUUUCGAAUAAGCACCGGCUAACUACGUGCCAGCAGCCGCGGUAAUACGUAGGGUGCAAGCGUUAUCCGGAAUUAUUGGGCGUAAAGGGCUCGUAGGCGGUUCGUCGCGUCCGGUGUGAAAGUCCAUCGCUUAACGGUGGAUCCGCGCCGGGUACGGGCGGG
Molecule: ribosomal RNA, 453 nt
Filed under: uncultured Bifidobacterium sp.
Lineage: Bacteria; Bacillati; Actinomycetota; Actinomycetes; Bifidobacteriales; Bifidobacteriaceae
Description: bacterial SSU rRNA
Rfam family: Bacterial small subunit ribosomal RNA
Source: RNAcentral